RNAcentral lists this ribosomal RNA (493 nucleotides) under uncultured bacterium. Its description in RNAcentral is "partial 16S ribosomal RNA". It matches the Rfam family "Bacterial small subunit ribosomal RNA", at positions 29 to 523 of the family's 1533-position model. The record is from RNAcentral.
AUUGAACGCUGGCGGCAUGCCUUACACAUGCAAGUCGAACGGUAACAGGUUAAGCUGACGAGUGGCGAACGGGUGAGUAAUGCAUCGGAACGUGCCCGGUCGUGGAGGAUAACACUUCGAAAGAAGUGCUAAUACAGCAUACGAUCUAAGGAUGAAAGCGGGGGACCGUAAGGCCUCGCGCGAUCGGAGCGGCCGAUGUCAGAUUAGGUAGUUGGUGGGGUAAAGGCUCACCAAGCCGACGAUCUGUAGCUGGUCUGAGCGGACGACCAGCCACACUGGGGCUGAGACACGGCCCAGACUCCAACGGGAGACAGCAGUGGGGAAUUUUGGACGAUGGGCGCAGGCCUAAUCCAGCAAUGCCGCGUGCAGGAAGAAGGCCUUCGGGUUGUAAACUGCUUUUGUACGGAGCGAAAAGGCUCUCUCUAAUACAGGGGGCUGAUGACGGUACCGUAAGGAUAAGCACCGGCUAACUACGUGCCAGCCGCCGCGGUAA